RNAcentral lists this ribosomal RNA (528 nucleotides) under uncultured bacterium. Its description in RNAcentral is "bacterial SSU rRNA". It matches the Rfam family "Bacterial small subunit ribosomal RNA", at positions 777 to 1304 of the family's 1533-position model. The record is from RNAcentral.
AAUAGAUACCCGGGUAGUCCACGCCGUAAACGAUGAGUGCUAAGUGUUAGGGGGUUUCCGCCCCUUAGUGCUGCAGCUAACGCAUUAAGCACUCCGCCUGGGGAGUACGGUCGCAAGACUGAAACUCAAAGGAAUUGACGGGGGCCCGCACAAGCGGUGGAGCAUGUGGUUUAAUUCGAAGCAACGCGAAGAACCUUACCAGGUCUUGACAUCCCGCUGACCGCUAUGGAGACAUAGCUUUCCCUUCGGGGACAGCGGUGACAGGUGGUGCAUGGUUGUCGUCAGCUCGUGUCGUGAGAUGUUGGGUUAAGUCCCGCAACGAGCGCAACCCUUGUCCUUAGUUGCCAUCAUUCAGUUGGGCACUCUAAGGAGACUGCCGUACAAAUACGGAGGAAGGUGGGGAUGACGUCAAAUCAUCAUGCCCCUUAUGACCUGGGCUACACACGUGCUACAAUGGACGGUACAAACGGUUGCGAAGUCGCGAGACGGAGCCAAUCCGAGAAAGCCGUUCUCAGCUCGGAUUGCAGG